This 147-nucleotide small RNA is filed under the name Macaca fascicularis (crab-eating macaque). Its description in RNAcentral is "Metazoan signal recognition particle RNA (ENSMFAG00000048374.1)". Lineage: Eukaryota; Metazoa; Chordata; Mammalia; Primates; Cercopithecidae. The record is from Rfam by way of RNAcentral.
GCCGGGUGUGGUGGUGCACGCCUGUAAUUCCAGCUACUCAGGAGGCUGAGGCAGGAGAAUUGCUUGAACCCAGGAGUCGGAGGUUGCAGUGAGCUGAGAUGCGCCACUGCACUCCAGCCUGGGUGACAGAGUGAGACUUAGUCUCAA